CCUACGGGGGACUGCAGUGAGGAAUAUUGGUCAAUGGGCGCUAGCCUGAACCAGCCAAGUAGCGUGAAGGAUGACUGCCCUAUGGGUUGUAAACUUCUUUUAUAUGGGAAUAAAGUGCAGUAGGUAUACAGCUUUGCAUGUACCUUAUGAAUAAGGAUCGGCUAACUCCGUGCCAGCAGCCGCGGUAAUACGGAGGAUCCGAGCGUUAUCCGGAUUUAGUGGGGUUAAAGGGAGCGUAGGCGGGUUGUUACGUCAGUGGUGAAAGUUUGCGGCUCUACCGUAAAAUUGCAGUUGAUACUGGCAUCCUUGCGUACAGUAGAGGUAGGCGGAUUUCGUGGUGUCGCGGUGCAAUGCUUCGAUAUCACG
This 366-nucleotide ribosomal RNA is filed under the name uncultured bacterium. RNAcentral's name for it is "partial 16S ribosomal RNA". It matches the Rfam family "Bacterial small subunit ribosomal RNA", at positions 338 to 701 of the family's 1533-position model. The record is from RNAcentral.